Molecule: ribosomal RNA, 322 nt
Filed under: uncultured Leptolinea sp.
Lineage: Bacteria; Bacillati; Chloroflexota; Anaerolineae; Anaerolineales; Anaerolineaceae
Description: bacterial SSU rRNA
Rfam family: Bacterial small subunit ribosomal RNA
Source: RNAcentral
GGCCGUCGUCAGCUCGUGUCGUGAGAUGUUCGGGUUAAGUCCGCUAACGAGCGCAACCCUCGCUGUGUGUUAUAUGUGUCACACGGGACUGCCGGUCUUAAGCCGGAGGAAGGUGGGGAUGAUGUCAAGUCAGCAUGGCCUUUAUAUCCUGGGCUACACACACGCUACAAUGGCCAACACAAUAGGUUGCUAAGCCGCGAGGUGGCGCCAAUCCAUAAAGUUGGUCUCAGUUCAGAUUGUAGGCUGCAACCCGCCUGCAUGAAGAUGGAGUUGCUAGUAACCGCAGGUCAGCUAUACUGCGGUGAAUACGUUCCCGGGGCUU